GAGGAUGGAAUGUAGCUCAGUGGCAGAGCAGAUGCUUUGCAUGCAGAAGGUCCCAGGCUAAACCCCAGGCAUCCUCA
Non-coding RNA from Podarcis lilfordi (Lilford's wall lizard), 77 nucleotides. Lineage: Eukaryota; Metazoa; Chordata; Lepidosauria; Squamata; Lacertidae. The record is from the annotation of a GenBank genome assembly.